This 430-nucleotide long non-coding RNA is filed under the name Manihot esculenta (cassava). Its description in RNAcentral is "long non-coding RNA (MESC_LNC000059)". The record is from RNAcentral. Lineage: Eukaryota; Viridiplantae; Streptophyta; Magnoliopsida; Malpighiales; Euphorbiaceae.
AAAAACAGCAUAUGAAGACCCUGUAGCAGAGAAACCUCGGAGGAAGAAGACCGGGAUCCCUAAGAACUCCCGGGAAAACAAAACAAAAACGGCCGGUGAGGAUCUUAAAAGACCUCCCAGAGCAUGAAGACCGGGAUCCCCUAGAACUCCCGGGAAAACAAAGAAGACCGGGAUCCCUAAGAACUCCCGGGAAAACAAAACAAAAACGGCCGGUGAGGAUCUUAAAAGACCUCCCGGAGCAUGAAGACCGGGAUCCCCUAGAACUCCCGGAAAAACAAAGAAGACCGGGAUCCCCUAGAACUCCCGGGAAAACAAAAAAGACAAAUCCUAAGUUACUGAUGAAAAAUCAAAUUCCGACCUCCCGGAAGAGCUCGGGGCAAAAUAGCCAAGAGCGUCAUAGCCCCAGGCCAAUCUCCAAAAGCGAGCUCGG